RNAcentral lists this long non-coding RNA (523 nucleotides) under Gallus gallus (chicken). Lineage: Eukaryota; Metazoa; Chordata; Aves; Galliformes; Phasianidae. The record is from RNAcentral.
CGAAGAUUUGUGUCUGCAGACUGGCGGUUGUAUUUGAAGACCUCACAGAGAACUAAUUUGUUGGGAUCCUUGCGAAAAGGGUCCCGGAACAUGGCAGCAGGUCGCAGGUACAUGUCGCUGUUGGAGCCUUCGGCUUGGAAGGUGCUGGAGCCAUCAAAGUUCCACUCGGGGAGAUCUUCCAGGCUCUUGGGUUCGUGGUCCAGCGUGCGGGUUUUGCAGCGGAGGUGCUCCCCAGUCCCGUCGAUCCAGAUGUACAUGGCUUGGACCUUCUCCCCCUGCGGCAGCUUCAUGUACAUGUGCUUGAUGGCUUUGCUCAGGUGGGAGCUCGCCGAGGUGGCCAUGGCUGCGGAGCUGGCGAGGGCUGUCCUGGGCUGGGCUGCGGGCAGGGGCUCGGCGCGGGGCUCCCACGCUCGGCUCCCGGGGGCCGCGCCCGCCGCCGCUUUAUGGAGCCGGAGCGCCGGCCCCGCCGCACUGAUUGGGCAGCGGGAAGCGGGCCGGGGGCAGGCCGGGGCCGGGGAUGGGG